GAUGAACGCUGGCGGCGUGCCUAAUACAUGCAAGUCGAGCGGACGGACGAGAAGCUCGCUUCUCUGAUGUUAGCGGCGGACGGGUGAGUAACACGUGGAUAACCUACCUAUAAGACUGGGAUAACUUCGGGAAACCGGAGCUAAUACCGGAUAAUAUUUUGAACCGCAUGGUUCAAAAGUGAAAGACGGUCUUGCUGUCACUUAUAGAUGGAUCCGCGCUGCAUUAGCUAGUUGGUAAGGUAACGGCUUACCAAGGCAACGAUGCAUAGCCGACCUGAGAGGGUGAUCGGCCACACUGGAUCUGAGACACGGUCCAGACUCCUAAGGGAGGCAGCAGUAGGGAAUCAUCCGCAAUGGGCGAGAGCCGGACGGAGCAACGCGGCGUGAGUGAUGAAGGUCUUCGGGUCGUAAAACUCUGUUAUUGGGGAAGAACAUAUGUGUAAGUAACUGUGCACAUCUUGACGGUACCUAAUCAGAAAGCAACGGCUAACUACGUG
RNAcentral lists this ribosomal RNA (497 nucleotides) under uncultured bacterium. Its description in RNAcentral is "partial 16S ribosomal RNA". It matches the Rfam family "Bacterial small subunit ribosomal RNA", at positions 28 to 507 of the family's 1533-position model. The record is from RNAcentral.